UACGUAGGGGGCGAGCGUUGUCCGGAUUUAUUGGGCGUAAAGAGCUCGUAGGCGGUUUGGUAAGUCGGGUGUGAAAUCUCCACGCUCAACGUGGAGGGGCCACUCGAUACUGCCAUGACUCGAGUCCGGUAGAGGAGUGUGGAAUUCCCGGUGUAGCGGUGAAAUGCGCAGAUAUCUGGAGGAACACCGGUGGCGAAGGCGGCAUCCUGGACCGGUAUCGACACUGAGGCGCGAAAGCCAGGGGAGCAAACGGG
RNAcentral lists this ribosomal RNA (254 nucleotides) under uncultured bacterium. Its description in RNAcentral is "partial 16S ribosomal RNA". It matches the Rfam family "Bacterial small subunit ribosomal RNA", at positions 524 to 776 of the family's 1533-position model. The record is from RNAcentral.